This 4042-nucleotide long non-coding RNA is filed under the name Triticum aestivum (bread wheat). RNAcentral describes it as "long non-coding RNA (TAES_LNC008955)". The record is from RNAcentral. Lineage: Eukaryota; Viridiplantae; Streptophyta; Magnoliopsida; Poales; Poaceae.
CUGAGGCCACAACUGUCAGCUAUUCCUUUGACUACUGUAUUUCCAUGGUGACUUGUGGACCCGUAUUUCAUUCGUGACCUUUUUCAAUCACCUCGUAAGUGCCCAAGGAAUGAUUGAUGCGUCUGUUCCGAGCUGUCGAUUUGUGGACGUUUGUGUAGCUUUAUCAUGAAUAGCAUCAUAUCUUGUGAAUACAGUCAGGCGAAAUAAGUGAAGUGUAAACUACAGUUGCUUCAUUAUGGUUUUGUGUGAAAGAAGCUUAAAUCUGGUCUUGUACAAUGGCCCAUCCUGGAAAUACAUUUUCUAGGUCUGGUGUUCCUCAAUUUGAACUGCUGGUCUUCCAGUUCCAGGUCUUUUAUCUUUAAUCAUGCCCAUUUGCCAGGAAGAUUAUGUCAUGGUUGAACCCCUUUGGAAGCUGAUAGGAAAAAUAAAUUACUCGUAAUCGCUGAUAUCAUAAUAGCUGGAAUCAUUUUUUAUGAGUUGUUUCCAUGUAUUUUCUUGAGCACAGUUGUUUGUAGCUCGCCUUCCAUGGCUAGAGGCCGGAUUAGGGGAGUUUAGCUGUGUUAUUUCCUUGUUUGGGCCGAGCAUCCCAUGUUUUUCUGCUUCGAGCACCAUGCUCACACCCUCUUGCUUUCGUGUCAUGGGUUGUAUCCUCUCUUGUUUUAAUUUUCUUCUGGUAUUUUGGUACAUAGUAGCAUUCCCUACAUUCCACAAUGUAGUGCAUAUAGAUUUUUUGAAAAGUCAAACUUUACAAAAUUUGACAUAUUUUCAUUUUUAAUCAUGGUAGUACAACGAACACUAGAAAUAAUAAUUACAUUUAGAUCAGUGUCAGGUGGUAGGUGCGACAUAUGCCAACGGAUGGCUUAUCAUUGUGGAAGCCAGUAAGACAUCGCCGGUGCCUGGAAACGGGAUAAGGCGAAGACAUGCACGCCGGCGGAUCUUACCCAGGUUGGGGGCUCUCCGUGGAGAUAAUACCCCUACUCCUGUUCUGCGGGGUCUCCGCAUGAUCACUAGAUCAAUAAGAAGCUACAAGUGGCUCCUUGAACUGUUCGGUGGAAGGAGGAAGAAGGGCAAGGCUAGCUCUCUCUCCUCUCCCUGUAGUGGUGUCUAAAACUCUCUACGAUCAACCCUUUGCAUGGGUGUCCUGGGGGUUUAUAUAGGCCUACCCCCGGGGUACAAUGGUAAUCCGGCUGGGCGUGGGCCCUAGUCGUCAGUGUCUAUGACCGUCGGCUUCUCCGCCGACUGUUGGGGCCCGUCGACUGGUGGGUCCCGCCGGCUGCCGGCUCAUUGGUUGACAGGCCGGCCCCACCGCUUGGGGGUCUUGUCGGGGGCUGGUUACUAUUGCCUUGCCUCUGAUGACGAGGGCUUUGUCGAGUUAAGCAUGGCUACAGUGCCACCGCCUUGCUGACUCUCACUGUAGCCUUACCUCGUCUUAUCUCUUUAAUGGUGCGCGCGCCCCGAGGAGGGAAGCAAGCCGGCUAUAGGAAGCCGGCCAUGCCUCAGGCCGGCUAGGGGAGGCCAGGCCGCCUUCAGGUGUCUCUUUGACCGAAGGGGCCCGCCGCCUACGGGCCGUACUGGCAGCCCGUCGUGGAUGGCCUCAUGAUCAGCAUGGCAACAAUACCACGCCGGACGGGUGAUGGCUGUCUCGUACGGCGUACUGUAGCCAUGCGUGCUCCGGGAUUCGGGGGUGACACGGUCCACUGUUGCCACGCCCCGUCCCAUCAUCGUUAUGGGGGGUGCAGAUUUUUAGGGCACGACCCCUGGCCGCCUGCCUGGGGCCGGCCUCUUGGAGUCGGUUCUCUUGGGCCGGCUUCUUGGAGUCGGCCCUAUCGUGGCGUCCCCCAAGAGAGUUUAGGGUCGGGCCGCCUUCCGGUAGUCAGCCUGUGAGAUAGCCGGCCGGAGGAAGGCGGCCCCGCAUCUUGGGUGUUUCAAGGCUCGGUCAGCCUGUUGUUUUUUCUAAGGGCCAAAGGGAGCCGGUUAGGCUACCCGUGGUCAUUUACUCCGACAAUCAGAGAUUUAAUUCUACCAUCCAUGUGGACUUGAACACGCUAAGGAUCUUUAGAGCCUAUGCCCGCAAACAGUCCAAGAGUUCUCUUAAUGUCAUGCUCAUGGUCAUUCCACAAUAUAUGCAUCUAGAAUAGCAAAUACAUAUCAUUAGACAUAUUUUCAUAUCGUAUAAAUUUGACAUUGUAGAUAUAAUAAGUUUUCUCUAGAAACUUAGUCAAAAUUUGUAAAGUUUGACUUUUGAAAAUAUUUAUAUGCACUAUGUUAUGGAAAGUUGUUUUUGUGACGACGCCGAGUUGUUUCUAUGUAUUUUCUCGAGCACAGUAUGUUCACAUUUUUGUCUCAUGAAACCAUUUCUUCAUGUGAAAGAAAAUGUGGCACAGACAGUGUUGUUGUAGCAAACAGUAAACACGUUUGUUUCCUCCAAAACGUGUCAGAAGUUCGCCAUCCGUUUCAUCGGGUCAUGCAUCCUCCCCGAAUUCAGACGGAGCUACUCUACGAUGGAAUUGUUGGGCAAUACCCCGUCGGACGGGAUAAUCCCGUCGUCCGUUGCGCCGUAGAGAAAAAGGCUGGGGGUCGGGAGGAAGGAAGCUUCCGCCUGACAGCGGGACCGUGGAACAGUCACCAGGUGCCGAGCAGCUGAAGUGCGCCAACAGGGGACGGACGGACGCGACGCGGCCCGCACACGCUACGCCACAGCCGAAACCGCGCGGCCGAAAGAGAGGAAAACCCCAAGGAAUUGCCGACGAGACGCCGCCGUGCGCGUGUUCUUCCCGCCCAAGCCAAGCAACCCGUUCCCCGCACGUUUUCCCCCCGCCCUACGGCCAGCCUAGCUAGGCUUUGCCACGGGAAAUUCUGACACCACUGCGCACACCUCUCCACCACGCCACGCCACCCUUUGGUGCCUUCCUUCGCCGGUAUAUAAACCAGCACGCGACCCCGACGCCGAGCAUAAGCAACGUAACACCAGCACUUUCACCACUUUGCGUCGAGCUUCCCGCGCGCGCCCACGCUCUUGAUCAUUGCCGCCGUGGCCUGCUCGGGGCGUACGUGCGUGCCAUCCGUCGUAUUCUAUUUUCACAGCAAUGCGCAUGGCUCCGGCGGCGGCAGGAAGAGCCCACGGCGCUUGGAGCAGCGCACCGCGCGUGCUCUCCGACCGGCGCGGCCUCCGGUCGUCAUCUCGCGACGUCGCCGCCAUGGCGACGGUUCGGUUCGGCGCUCGUCGCGCCGGCGCGAGCAGAGUGGUCCUCUGCCUCGCGUCGGGGGGUGGUCACCCGCGGGACAGCGGCGAGUGGGAGCCCGCGGGCUCGCCGUGGGACGGCCGGAUGGUGGACGAGGGCAUGGCCACGCUGCGGCGGCGCAUCCGCGAGGUGGAGCACGGCGAGGACGACGAAGAGGAAGAGCCAGAGGAGCAGGAGGAGGAGGAGGGCGGCGUCGACGUCUUCGUGCCCCCGGGCGAGUGGACGGAGCUGGAGCGGCGGCACCACGGGCUGUACGUCGCGGGCGUGCGCGAGGCGCUCGGCAUCCUGUUCGCGCUGCUGGUGCGCGCGCGGCCGGGGCUCGGCGCGGGGGUCGUGGCGCUGGUGCUGCUCAGCGUGCCGGCCUCGGUGCUCCUCGUGUCCGCCGAGCUCGUCCGGGCUGUCCACUCCAUCUCGGCCGCCGUGCUCAGCGGCAGAAUGUAGGAUUGUACCUUGUACGUACGUACUAGAUGGCUCUGUACGUAUUUUCCCGCAAAAAAAAAAAAAAACAGAGGCUCUGUACGUAUUUUCUGCCUUGUGCACGUGAUGGUUUUCGUUCUUCCCAGGGAAGAAUCAAAUGAUGUAGUAGUAGGUUUUCUUGUCUCGACUCAUCAAGAGCAUGAUGACCAUGAGCAUGACAUUAAGAGAACUCUUGGACUGUUUGCGGGCAUAGGCUCUGAAGAUCAUAAUAUUGUUUAGCGUGUUCAGGUCCAUACGGAUGGUAGAACUAAAUCUCUGAUAUGGAUGUAACUUUUAUUAUUUCUAGUGUUCGUUGCACUAUAAUGAUUGAAAAUAAAUAGAUU